Molecule: ribosomal RNA, 301 nt
Filed under: uncultured bacterium
Lineage: Bacteria
Description: partial 16S ribosomal RNA
Rfam family: Bacterial small subunit ribosomal RNA
Source: RNAcentral
CAGUAGCCGCGGUAAUACGGAGGGUGCUAGCGUUGUUCGGAAUCACUGGGCGUAAAGGGCGCGUAGGCGGCCUGUUAAGUCGGAUGUGAAAGCCCGGGGCACAACCCCGGAACUGCAUCCGAGACUGGCAGGCUUGAGACCGGGAGAGGAGGGUGGAAUAUCCAGUGUAGAGGUGAAAUUCGUAGAUAUUGGAUGGAACACCGGUGGCGAAAGCGGCUCUCCGGCCCGGAUCUGACGCUGAGGCGCAAAAGCGUGGGGAGCAAACAGGAUUAGAUACCCCCGUAGUCCCUGUCUCUUAUAC